ACGCGACCCCAGGUCAAGCGGGGCUACCCGCUGAAUUU
This 38-nucleotide ribosomal RNA is filed under the name Taxandria marginata. RNAcentral's name for it is "partial 28S ribosomal RNA". Lineage: Eukaryota; Viridiplantae; Streptophyta; Magnoliopsida; Myrtales; Myrtaceae. The record is from RNAcentral.